CAGAGGGCCAUCUCGCCGGAUCUGUUCAUACCUCACCCCGAUUUCUACAUCAAUGAUUUCACGCAAGUGGACUACGAAACAAUCGAUAAUGCAGUGAGUAACAGCAGAAAUCCGGCCGUUUUCCACGGCGAAUUAGAAGCCAUAUCCCCCGCAGAAUCUCCGCUGCCGCCGCAUCGAAGAGAAGACGGCACUAUUUCCGUCUCCGCAUACCGGGAGAACCGCGGAGAAAAAAGUUUUAAAAUCGAAGAGGUAACCGAGAAUAUACAGACCCCGCCGCAGCGAAAAGAAGAAGAAGAAGAAGAAGACGACGACGUUAUUUUCGUCAACGCAUACCGGGAGAACUGCAGGAAAAUACCUUUUAAACCAAAAGCCGAGAUUGCGGAUAUACCUAUUCAACCCCCCUCCGCUACAGACAAUUGCGCGGAGGAGCGAGCCGAGAUUGCGGAUUUACCUAACCAAUCCCCCGCCGCUACAGACAAUCGGGCGGAGGAGCGAGAGACCGAUACAGAAAAUCAGACUGAAGAAAAUCAGGUUGAGGAGGAACCGUCCAGAUCGCCUCCUCUCAGGAGAGUGAGAGCUCCUCUCGGAAGACUGAGAGCUCGACGGAUGCUUCAUAAGAAGAGAAUCCUUGAAAAACUCGCUUUCAUGUACGUCGCAACAGUUCGCACAUAUGCAUCGAUGUACAGACACAAGGACCUGUAAAGUAAAAGCAUGUAAAAGUCUGUGAAUUAAGAAAUAAAGAAAAUCAUGUCGG
Molecule: long non-coding RNA, 754 nt
Organism: Astatotilapia calliptera (eastern happy)
Lineage: Eukaryota; Metazoa; Chordata; Actinopteri; Cichliformes; Cichlidae
Source: Ensembl